Molecule: unclassified non-coding RNA, 447 nt
Filed under: soil metagenome
Description: partial contains 5.8S ribosomal RNA, internal transcribed spacer 2, and large subunit ribosomal RNA
Rfam family: 5.8S ribosomal RNA (bases 1-120)
Source: RNAcentral
GAUGAAGAACGUAGCGAAAUGCGAUAAGUAGUGUGAAUUGCAGAAUUCAGUGAAUCAUCGAAUCUUUGAACGCACAUUGCGCCUCCUGGCAUUCCGGGAGGCAUGCCUGUUCGAGCGUCAUCAAAAACCAUCGUGCAAAUGAAUUCUCAUUAUUUGCCCGGACCUGACGAUCGAGCGAGAAAGAAAAAGAAAGAGAGGAAAAAAAAAAAUACGUUUUCUUUUUUCUUUGUUUCUUCCUUCUUUUCGCACCUCGUCGAAAUGAUUGCGGGCGGAACUUGGGAUUCGGGUUCCUCGGCGUAGUGUAACAAUGCAUAUUUAUGCAACUUGCCGCGGAGUUGAGCCUGACCCACGCGUUCUCGCCGUAACAAACCUCAUCACUUUUCAAGUUUUUGACCUCGGAUCAGGUAGGGAUACCCGCUGAACUUAAGCAUAUCAAUAAGCGGAGGA